Molecule: ribosomal RNA, 252 nt
Filed under: uncultured bacterium
Lineage: Bacteria
Description: partial 16S ribosomal RNA
Rfam family: Bacterial small subunit ribosomal RNA
Source: RNAcentral
UACAGAGGUCCCAAGCGUUGUUCGGAUUCAUUGGGCGUAAAGGGUGCGUAGGCGGCGCGGUAAGUCGGGUGUGAAAUCUCGGAGCUUAACUCCGAAACUGCAUUCGAUACUGCCGUGCUUGAGGACUGGAGAGGAGACUGGAAUUUACGGUGUAGCGGUGAAAUGCGUAGAUAUCGUAAGGAAGACCAGUGGCGAAGGCGGGUCUCUGGACGGUACUGACGCUGAGGCGCGAAAGCGUGGGGAGCAAACAGG